UACGGAGGGGGCGAGCGUUAUUCGGAAUUAUUGGGCGUAAAGAGCUUGUAGGCGGUUUGUCGCGUCUGCUGUGAAAAUCCGGGGCUCAACCCCGGACUUGCAGUGGGUACGGGCAGACUAGAGUGUGGUAGGGGAGACUGGAAUUCCUGGUGUAGCGGUGAAAUGCGCAGAUAUCAGGAGGAACACCGAUGGCGAAGGCAGGUCUCUGGGCCACUACUGACGCUGAGAAGCGAAAGCAUGGGGAGCGAACAGG
RNAcentral lists this ribosomal RNA (253 nucleotides) under uncultured bacterium. RNAcentral's name for it is "partial 16S ribosomal RNA". It matches the Rfam family "Bacterial small subunit ribosomal RNA", at positions 524 to 776 of the family's 1533-position model. The record is from RNAcentral.